ACGGAAAUAACCUCGUAAUCUGC
Molecule: non-coding RNA, 23 nt
Filed under: Arabidopsis thaliana (thale cress)
Lineage: Eukaryota; Viridiplantae; Streptophyta; Magnoliopsida; Brassicales; Brassicaceae
Source: RNAcentral